Molecule: ribosomal RNA, 254 nt
Filed under: uncultured bacterium
Lineage: Bacteria
Description: partial 16S ribosomal RNA
Rfam family: Bacterial small subunit ribosomal RNA
Source: RNAcentral
UACGGAGGGGGCUAGCGUUGUUCGGAAUUACUGGGCGUAAAGCGCACGUAGGCGGCUUUGUAAGUUAGAGGUGAAAGCCCAGGGCUUAACCCUGGAAUUGCCUUUAAGACUGCAUCGCUAGAAUCGUGGAGAGGUGAGUGGAAUUCCGAGUGUGGAGGUGAAAUUCGUAGAUAUUCGGAAGAACACCAGUGGCGAAGGCGACUCACUGGACACGUAUUGACGCUGAGGUGACGAAGACGUGGGGAGCAAACAGG